UACGGAGGGGGCGAGCGUUAUUCGGAAUUAUUGGGCGUAAAGGGCGCGUAGGCGGCCACCGCAAGUCGACUGUGAAAUCUCCGGGCUUAACCCGGAACGGUCAGCCGAUACUGCGGGGCUAGAGUGCAGAAGGGGCAACUGGAAUUCUCGGUGUAGCGGUGAAAUGCGUAGAUAUCGAGAGGAACACCUGCGGCGAAGGCGGGUUGCUGGGCUGACACUGACGCUGAGGCGCGAAAGCUAGGGGAGCGAACGGG
RNAcentral lists this ribosomal RNA (254 nucleotides) under uncultured bacterium. Its description in RNAcentral is "partial 16S ribosomal RNA". It matches the Rfam family "Bacterial small subunit ribosomal RNA", at positions 524 to 776 of the family's 1533-position model. The record is from RNAcentral.